ACCCUUUUGUUAGAGAAGAACAAGGAUGAGAGUAGAAUGUUCAUCCAUCCACGGUAUUUAACCAGAAAGCCAGGCCUAACUUCGUGCCCGCAGCCGCGGUAAUCCUUAGGCGGCAAGGGUUGUCCGGAUUUAUUGGGCGUAAAGCGAGCGCCGGCGGAUUCCUAUGUCCUAUUUGAAAGCCCCCGGUUCCACCGGGGAGGGUCACUGGAAACUGGGAAACUUGAGUGCAGAAGAGGAGAGUGGAAUUCCACGUGUAGCGGUGAAAUGCGUAGAAAUAUGGAGGAACACCAGUGGCGAAGGCGGCUCUCUGGUCUGUAACUGACGCUGAGGCUCGAAAGCGUGGGGAGCAAACAGGAUUAGAUACCCUGGUAGUCCACGCCGUAAACGAUGAGUGCUAAGUGUUGGAGGGUUUCCGCCCUUCAGUGCUGCAGCUAACGCAUUAAGCACUCCGCCUGGG
Molecule: ribosomal RNA, 457 nt
Filed under: Enterococcus raffinosus
Lineage: Bacteria; Bacillati; Bacillota; Bacilli; Lactobacillales; Enterococcaceae
Description: bacterial SSU rRNA
Rfam family: Bacterial small subunit ribosomal RNA
Source: RNAcentral